This 22-nucleotide microRNA is filed under the name Ornithorhynchus anatinus (platypus). RNAcentral describes it as "oan-miR-223-3p". Its record names the gene oan-miR-223-3p. Lineage: Eukaryota; Metazoa; Chordata; Mammalia; Monotremata; Ornithorhynchidae. The record is from miRBase by way of RNAcentral.
UGUCAGUUUGUCAAAUACCCUA